UACGUAGGGGGCUAGCGUUGUCCGGAAUCAUUGGGCGUAAAGAGCGUGUAGGCGGUCCGGUAAGUCCGCUGUGAAAGUCGGGGGCUCAACCCUCGAAUGCCGGUGGAUACUGUCGGGCUAGAGUGCGGAAGAGGCGAGUGGAAUUCCUGGUGUAGCGGUGAAAUGCGCAGAUAUCGGGAGGAACACCAGCGGCGAAGGCGGCACUCUGGGCUGGUACUGACGCUGAGGAGCGAAAGCGUGGGUAGCAAACAGG
RNAcentral lists this ribosomal RNA (253 nucleotides) under uncultured bacterium. RNAcentral describes it as "partial 16S ribosomal RNA". It matches the Rfam family "Bacterial small subunit ribosomal RNA", at positions 524 to 776 of the family's 1533-position model. The record is from RNAcentral.